UACAGAUGUGAGCCACCACAUCCGGCUUAGCUUCUUUCAUUUUCUCAGGUCCUCUUUCUGCCAGCAACAGUUGUUCUGCAGUGUUUCUAGUGUGACUCCUCCUUGUGCAUGCACCCGAGUUCUGAGAAAAAGAAGCCAUUUAUCCCCAGUUCAGGUGCAAUAUGUCUGCUGAAAACAUGGUAGUAUUUUGCCAUCAUCAAUUUACUCAUCCAUUUGAACUAAGAGCCAGUCAGAAAGGUUGGGUGCAGCCAGGCUUUAGUUCUGUUUUGUUUUUGCUUUUGUUUUUCAGAAAGAGGAAAUUGGCACUAAUUUGAGCACAAUUGCUUGCAAACAUUUUACUGAUUUUUUGUUGUUUUGAUCUUGCUUAUAGGAAUUAUUGAGAAAAGAAAAAUCUUGGGAUGAUAAAUAUGGAGCAUCGGCCAUGGCCCUGACUAUGGGAAGGAAAGGAUCUCUAAAAUCCAGAAGUGAAAUAUCUUGGCAAGAAAAUUAAGCCCCAAGUGGCUUCAACAUUUGGCCUGGUGGUCAAGGAACUGUCAUAGUUACUGGGAUAACAACCAUUAUACA
Molecule: long non-coding RNA, 564 nt
Organism: Homo sapiens (human)
Lineage: Eukaryota; Metazoa; Chordata; Mammalia; Primates; Hominidae
Exons: 3
Source: RefSeq, a predicted model, not a curated record